CCGAUAACUCUGGAAUAGCCUUUCGAAAGAAAGAUUAAUACCGGAUGGCAUACGAAUAUCGCAUGAUAUUUUUAUUAAAGAAUUUCGGUUAUCGAUGGGGAUGCGUUCCAUUAGUUUGUUGGCGGGGUAACGGCCCACCAAGACAACGAUGGAUAGGGGUUCUGAGAGGAAGGUCCCCCACAUUGGAACUGAGACACGGUCCAAACUCCUACGGGAGGCAGCAGUGAGGAAUAUUGGUCAAUGGGCGAGAGCCUGAACCAGCCAAGUAGCGUGAAGGAUGAAGGCUCUAUGGGUCGUAAACUUCUUUUAUAUGGGAAUAAAGUUUUCCACGUGUGGAAUUUUGUAUGUACCAUAUGAAUAAGGAUCGGCUAACUCCGUGCCAGCAGCCGCGGUAAUACGGAGGAUCCGAGCGUUAUCCGGAUUUAUUGGGUUUAAAGGGAGCGUAGGUGGAUUGUUAAGUCAGUUGUGAAAGUUUGCGGCUCAACCGUAAAAUUGCAGUUGAAACUGGCAGUCUUGAGUACAGUAGAGGUGGGCGGAAUUCGUGGUGUAGCGGUGAAAUGCUUAGAUAUCACGAAGAACUCCGAUUGCGAAGGCAGCUCACUAGACUGUUACUGACACUGAUGCUCGAAAGUGUGGGUAUCAAACAGGAUUAGAUACCCUGGUAGUCCACACAGUAAACGAAGAAUACUCGCUGUUUGCGAUAUACAGUAAGCGGCC
Molecule: ribosomal RNA, 717 nt
Filed under: uncultured bacterium
Lineage: Bacteria
Description: bacterial SSU rRNA
Rfam family: Bacterial small subunit ribosomal RNA
Source: RNAcentral